Alosa sapidissima (American shad) is the source of this 1022-nucleotide long non-coding RNA. RefSeq lists it as uncharacterized. NCBI's taxonomy places the organism in Eukaryota, Metazoa, Chordata, Actinopteri, Clupeiformes, Clupeidae. The record is from RefSeq and is a predicted model, not a curated record. The transcript is spliced from 4 exons.
GAACACUGUAAAAAGUUUCUGUAAAUUUACACCCAGAUUCCAACAUUAUUCACCUGUUUCCUUCAAUAAACAGGACUUUCCAGUCAUUAGUAAGACAAAUGUGUAAAAUCAGGCUCCAACACUGUUAUUUACCACGCCCGUAAUGUUUAUUCUGGAACACACGUACUUCCCGUUAUCUAUUAACGUUACCUUCGAGCUGGUGAUGGGAAGCUGUCUGCUGAGAGAAGACGAUACGUUGGAAUCAUACCCAAACCCAUCAACACAAUAAGGGAUGUGCGACUGUAGCUGAUGUUGAGUCUUCCAAGCCUACCUGUGACGCCUCGCCUGAUAUUACUAGGUGAACGACAAGGUAAUCAUCAAAAGUGGAUGGUCAGCAUUGAAUCCUUAAUCGUUUGUGAAGGGUCCAACCUCGCCACAUUUCUAACAGGGAUUGCGACAUGUUUCUCCACCUUCUAUAUUCUGAAUCUGCAAUAUCAGGAGGAGGCAGCGUGCACCCUUGAAUUCUUCCAGAGAAAAAGGCCCAGAAGAAGCCUAAGAACAAUCACUAAUAAGUAAAGUGAAUGUUACUUGAUUUCUCAUGAAUGUUACUUGAUUCCCUCCCUGAUUAUCAUUUAUACUCAUCUCUUACUUUAAAUUCUUCUGGACAUAAUCUGUCAGUUUAUUCAUUCUCACAUGUACACAAGGCCAAUGCGAUGCAAUGAUAUUGAUAAUUGAUAAAUAUCUGUGAUGAUUAUUCUGUAUCUUAUUUGAUUUUGAAAUAGUACUACUUUAGAUAACAUGUCUACAUUUUACAUACAUAUGUGAUACACAAGCCUAAUGCAAUGUUUUUAUUUUCCAUGAUAAUUCUUUUGUACCUUAUUUCCGAUUUUUGAAAUACAACUAGAUCACGUGUCUACAUUUUACAUUCAUACGUGAUACACGAGCCUAAUGCGAUGUUUUUGUUUUUCAUGUUAAUUCUUCUGUACCUUAUUCCUUGUUUUUUGAAAUACGAUUUUCAAAAUACUACUAGAUAGCGUGUCUAC